CCGCUCGUGGUCUAGUUGGUUAUGGCACCCGGCUGUAAACCGGGUUGUCGCUGGUUCGACUCCAGCCGAGCGGA
This 74-nucleotide transfer RNA is filed under the name Coccidioides posadasii C735 delta SOWgp. RNAcentral's name for it is "tRNA-Tyr (GTA) (tRNA-Tyr-GTA-3-1)". It matches the Rfam family "tRNA". From Rfam's summary of the family: Transfer RNA (tRNA) molecules are approximately 80 nucleotides in length. Their secondary structure includes four short double-helical elements and three loops (D, anti-codon, and T loops). The record is from RNAcentral. RNAcentral also lists the same sequence under 13 other names. Lineage: Eukaryota; Fungi; Ascomycota; Eurotiomycetes; Onygenales; Onygenaceae.